CCUAACAGCAUUAGCCUCUUUUAGGGCCUA
RNAcentral lists this non-coding RNA (30 nucleotides) under Rattus norvegicus (Norway rat). Lineage: Eukaryota; Metazoa; Chordata; Mammalia; Rodentia; Muridae. The record is from RNAcentral.